GCUCAGGUGGUGAAAUUGGUAGACACGCUGUCUUCAGGCGGCAGUAUCAGUGAUGUAGGGGUUCGAAUCCCCUCCUGAGCACCA
Molecule: transfer RNA, 84 nt
Filed under: Puniceicoccales bacterium
Lineage: Bacteria; Pseudomonadati; Verrucomicrobiota; Opitutia; Puniceicoccales
Description: tRNA-Leu
Rfam family: tRNA
About the family: Transfer RNA (tRNA) molecules are approximately 80 nucleotides in length.
Source: RNAcentral